GCGGGAGUGGUGAAACCGGUAGACACGCAGGAUUUAGGUUCCUGUGCCUUCGGGCGUGAGGGUUCGAGUCCCUCCUUCCGCA
Molecule: transfer RNA, 82 nt
Filed under: Agromyces intestinalis
Lineage: Bacteria; Bacillati; Actinomycetota; Actinomycetes; Micrococcales; Microbacteriaceae
Also listed under: 2 other names
Rfam family: tRNA
About the family: Transfer RNA (tRNA) molecules are approximately 80 nucleotides in length.
Source: Rfam by way of RNAcentral